CCUACGGGAGGCAGCAGUGGGGGAUAUUGCACAAUGGGGGGAACCCUGAUGCAGCGACGCCGCGUGGGUGAAGAAGCGCCUCGGCGCGUAAAGCCCUGUCAGCAGGGAAGAAAAUGACGGUACCUGAAGAAGAAGCCCCGGCUAACUACGUGCCAGCAGCCGCGGUAAUACGUAGGGGGCAAGCGUUAUCCGGAUUUACUGGGUGUAAAGUGGGCGCAGACGGCGAUGCAAGCCAGGAGUGAAAGCCCGGGCCCAACCCCGGUACUGCUCUUGGAACUGCGUGGCUGGAGUGCAGGAGGGGCAGGCGGAAGUCCUGGUGUAGCGGUGAAAUGAGUAGAUAGCAGGAGGAACACCGGUGGCGAAGGCGGCCUGCUGGACUGCAACUGACGUUGAGGCCCGAAAGCGUGGGGAGCAAACAGGAUUAGAUACCCCAGUAGUC
Molecule: ribosomal RNA, 439 nt
Filed under: uncultured bacterium
Lineage: Bacteria
Description: partial 16S ribosomal RNA
Rfam family: Bacterial small subunit ribosomal RNA
Source: RNAcentral